This 231-nucleotide ribosomal RNA is filed under the name uncultured bacterium. RNAcentral's name for it is "partial 16S ribosomal RNA". It matches the Rfam family "Bacterial small subunit ribosomal RNA", at positions 103 to 334 of the family's 1533-position model. The record is from RNAcentral.
CGGGUGAGUAACGCGUGGGUAACCUGCCUCGUACAGGGGGAUAACAGUUAGAAAUGACUGCUAAUACCGCAUGAGCGCACAGUGCUGCAUGGCACAGUGUGAAAAACUCCGGUGGUAUGAGAUGGACCCGCGUCUGAUUAGGUAGUUGGUGGGGUAACGGCCUACCAAGCCGACGAUCAGUAGCCGACCUGAGAGGGUGACCGGCCACAUUGGGACUGAGACACGGCCCAA